UACAGAGGUCCCGAGCGUUGUUCGGAUUCAUUGGGCGUAAAGGGCGCGUAGGCGGCGCGGUAAGUCACUUGUGAAAUCUCUGAGCUUAACUCAGAACGGCCAAGUGAUACUGCAGUGCUAGAGUGUGGAAGGGGCAAUCGGAAUUCUUGGUGUAGCGGUGAAAUGCGUAGAUAUCAAGAGGAACACCUGAGGUGAAGACGGGUUGCUGGGCCAACACUGACGCUGAGGCGCGAAAGCCAGGGGAGCAAACGGG
This 253-nucleotide ribosomal RNA is filed under the name uncultured bacterium. RNAcentral describes it as "partial 16S ribosomal RNA". It matches the Rfam family "Bacterial small subunit ribosomal RNA", at positions 524 to 776 of the family's 1533-position model. The record is from RNAcentral.